ACUUGAAUAGUUUAAUUAAAACUUUGAUUUGUGGUGUCAAGAAUGUAAAUUUUUACUUUAAGUC
RNAcentral lists this transfer RNA (64 nucleotides) under Sympetrum eroticum. RNAcentral's name for it is "tRNA-His". The record is from RNAcentral. Lineage: Eukaryota; Metazoa; Arthropoda; Insecta; Odonata; Libellulidae. RNAcentral also lists the same sequence under 1 other name.